GGUGGCUCAGUGGUAGAGUGCUUGUCUUGUAUGCAUGAAGCCCUGGGUUCAAUUCCUCAGCACCA
This 65-nucleotide transfer RNA is filed under the name Dipodomys ordii (Ord's kangaroo rat). It matches the Rfam family "tRNA". From Rfam's summary of the family: Transfer RNA (tRNA) molecules are approximately 80 nucleotides in length. Their secondary structure includes four short double-helical elements and three loops (D, anti-codon, and T loops). Lineage: Eukaryota; Metazoa; Chordata; Mammalia; Rodentia; Heteromyidae. The record is from Rfam by way of RNAcentral.